Hylaeus volcanicus is the source of this 1518-nucleotide RNA transcript. It is a transcript of the gene named D-aminoacyl-tRNA deacylase-like, with no coding region annotated. The record is from RefSeq and is a predicted model, not a curated record. NCBI's taxonomy places the organism in Eukaryota, Metazoa, Arthropoda, Insecta, Hymenoptera, Colletidae. The transcript is spliced from 4 exons.
AUAUCGUCAAUUAAAAGAAACUGUGAUUAGUAUACCUACGUUGUUUAAAAUAAUUUUAGGAAAUAAAAUUAAUAAAAUGUUUUCAGAAUAUGUGAAUUGAAUUACAAUGGUAUAAUACUCUUCAAAAGUAAACUUUGAAAUUACGUGUUUAAAGUUCCUGAGUUAAAAAUAAACACAGUAUAUUGUACAUAAUCUUAAUUGUUGUGUAAUAAAGACAUUUUUAAUAUCAUGUGAAAGGUGCUUCUUUUUGACGCAAGUCCACGUGUAUCUUGAAAACGGCUUCGAACUUGGAGUUUACUAUACCAACUAAAAAACAAUUGAUGUGAAUGUUUUGUCUCCUUAAAAUGAAGCAUGUUAAUACAAUAGUUCUGCAUGAGAUUCAUUGUUUUUUUGGAUUGGUACAGAAAAAGUAAAGAAUCGUGAAAAAGAUGAGACUGGUUGUACAACGUGUUCACAAAGCCUCCGUUCAACUCAAGGAAACAAAUGAAACGGUUUCGUCAAUUGGAUCAGGAGUGGCAGUCUUAUGGGGCAUAGAUCGUUCGGAUACAUGGUUGAUGUCUUAGAGACGCAAAUCGUCAUAGUGGCAGAAAAUAACCGUCUGUGUUUUUUUUUCAGGGAAGAAGCAGAGUUUUGUAUUAAUAAAUUGUUAAAUACACGGUUGUUUCCUGACGACAAUUCUAAGGAUUGGAAAUGCUCUGUGACCGAUUUGAAUUAUGAAAUUCUUGUUAUAUCCCAAUUCACAUUGUUAGCGUAAGAUGAGUCAUUUGUCAAUUUUAACAUACAAAGUAUGGUCAAUAAUCUUAGCAAUGGAGCGUACGUUCGCCUUGGAUUUAUACACACGUAUAGUUGAGCGAAUUAAACAGUUGUAUAAAGCUGAAAAAAUUAAAACGGGAUUUUUUGGAAAUCCAUGUAAUGUCUCCAUAGAAAAUAAUGGGCCUUGCACAAUACUGAUUGAUAGUUCUCUUAGAUGAAAGAAGCUAUCGUUACAACGCUAACAUAAAUAAGUAAGUUCUCUCCACAUUUUAAGCCUUUUAGUAAAUAUCAUAGAAAACAAUUUUGCUAUUUAUUAUGAACUAUAAGAUAAGUAGAGGUGGAGACAUACAACUAGCAGAAGCCUCCCAUAUUUUUCGUCAUGUUUUGUCAAAUAAAAAGAUAUCGUUUGUAUCGGUUUAAAGUCAUGUGUAAAAACAAAACUCGUCCAGCGAAAAAACAAGAAUUGAAUAAAACAUUUAUUUAUUUAACAUGUUUACAAAAAAAAUGCUUAACUUCUUGACAUGGUAAUAGAUGUACACACUUCGUUAUUACAAUACCACUGCUCAAACUAUAAAGAAUGAUUGAACUAAACUUACAUUUUUAAUGUAUUUGUUGAACGACUUUUGAAAAAAACAAGGGUUCUCUAAUGUAACUCAUAAGCCGCAUCCCAGCAUUUUAAUGUAAUCAAAACAAUUUGAUAAAAGGAAAAAAACAUGAUUUUUUCUUAAAUUCAUGUUAAAAUGUACGCAAUAAUGAUGGAUCAAA